UGCAUCAGUGAUGAUAAUUUGGCUCCCUCUACUGAAACAGAGUGAGGAGACUUGCCAAUGUUACCCAAUUUUUACUGAGAUGCA
Molecule: small nucleolar RNA, 84 nt
Organism: Engraulis encrasicolus (European anchovy)
Lineage: Eukaryota; Metazoa; Chordata; Actinopteri; Clupeiformes; Engraulidae
Product: small nucleolar RNA SNORD100
Exons: 1
Source: RefSeq, a predicted model, not a curated record